UGAUAGCUGUGAAGCGUGAGGUUGCUGCCCUGAUGGCAGGUUUUCCGUGGAGCGAAUGUCAAGUUAGGAAACUGGCGACAA
RNAcentral lists this non-coding RNA (81 nucleotides) under unclassified sequences. Its description in RNAcentral is "S10-Clostridia ribosomal protein leader". It matches the Rfam family "S10-Clostridia ribosomal protein leader". The record is from RNAcentral.